RNAcentral lists this long non-coding RNA (888 nucleotides) under Parus major (Great Tit). RNAcentral describes it as "lncRNA (ENSPMJG00000000686.1)". The record is from RNAcentral. Lineage: Eukaryota; Metazoa; Chordata; Aves; Passeriformes; Paridae.
AGGACCAUAGCAAACUUGUUUAACUCUUGCUCUGAAAUCCAUGUUCUGUGUAUCUGUGUAACAAGGGAGAAGAGUGGGAAUGGGAAGUGACACAAGAAGAAGGGACACUGUUUGGAUGACUGAAUUUGUGGAAACUUGGAAACUGCCUCACCUCCCAGGAAGAUUGGUAACUGCUAAUAUGCAACCUUAGAUUGUUGAACUCAGCCUGAACCCAGUUUAUUUUUAUUUCUGCAUAGAGGACGUGAAUUAUCAUUCUGACACCAGAUCUGAGUAAGCAGAUGCACUCCCUGUGAUCACACGUGUUCUAUUGCAGAGGCAGCAGCUCCAGCACUUCCUCCCAGCACUCUGCUCCUAUAUAUAUUCCUGAGUGGCAUGGAUAGGUUUGCAUGGGCACGUGGGAAAAGGAUUGUGUGCCCUGGGGAGAAGUGUGUAGGAGGGAAUUCUUCUCAGACAGCAGAGUCUGCGGUUCACAGCUGAGAACGACCCUCCAUUGAUUGACCACCAUUGUAGCAGUAUUUUCAGCUGGUUUCUCUGUUGCCUCUGUUUCUCUUAUAAAAACAAAAUUGCAUAUUUUCCAAGGAAACUGUCAGAAACUGUAUUAAACAAAUGCACGCUUUAGAAAAAUCGCUAAUUUUAGAAUGAUCAUAAAUAUUUAUAGCAGACAGACGAUAAACAGCACCUUAGUGACCAUGCUCUGUUUAUAUAAAUCCCUCCUAAUUUAGAAAAUGUUGAAUUGAUAGACUGAGACAGCCAUAGUCAACAAGUGCAUAUUUGAGAAAACUGCUCUACAGUCUGCUGUGACCAAAAUUUCCUCAUUCGUACAGCAUUCAGCUUUUGUUUCUGAUUCAACCUACUUAUAUGAGUUGCAUGCCAUAUUUUUUAUAACAC